This 28-nucleotide small RNA is filed under the name Bombyx mori (domestic silkworm). Its description in RNAcentral is "ovarian small RNA-28590". Lineage: Eukaryota; Metazoa; Arthropoda; Insecta; Lepidoptera; Bombycidae. The record is from RNAcentral.
UCGCAGCUUUCUUCGGUCCCGCGUAUGU